RNAcentral lists this ribosomal RNA (442 nucleotides) under uncultured bacterium. Its description in RNAcentral is "partial 16S ribosomal RNA". It matches the Rfam family "Bacterial small subunit ribosomal RNA", at positions 338 to 795 of the family's 1533-position model. The record is from RNAcentral.
CCUACGGGUGGCUGCAGUGGGGAAUAUUGGGCAAUGGGCGCAAGCCUGACCCAGCAACGCCGCGUGAAGGAAGAAGGCUUUCGGGUUGUAAACUUCUUUUUAGAGGGAAGAGCAGAAGACGGUACGUCUUGAUUAAGCCAUGGCUAACUACGUGCCAGCAGCCGCGGUAAUACGGAGGUUGCAAGCGUUGUCCGGAAUUACUGGGUGUAAAGGGCGUGCAGCCGGGAAGACAAGUCAGAUGUGAAAUCCCGCGGCUCAAACGCGGAACUGCAUUUGAAACUGUUUUUCUUGAGUACCGGAGAGGUCAGCGGAAUUCCUUGUGUAGCGGUGAAAUGCGUAGAUAUAAGGAAGAACACCGGUGGCGAAGGCGGAUGACUGGACGGCAACUGACGGUGAGGCGCGAAAGCGUGGGGAGCAAACAGGAUUAGAUACCCUUGUAGUC